UUGCAGCCAGUUAAGCCGACUGUGCUCUUUUCCUCAUGGGGGCCCAGUGUGCAGUGGCUGCAGACAGCAGCCUCCUUGGUAGUGUAUGCAGCCUGUUGCCUGUACAGGUUGCCCUAAGGGACCUUGGAGACACUC
This is a small nucleolar RNA of 135 nucleotides. Its record names the gene SNORA70. It matches the Rfam family "Small nucleolar RNA SNORA70". Rfam says of the family: snoRNA U70 seems to be exclusive to mammals and is a member of the H/ACA class of snoRNA which contain H (ANANNA) and ACA box motifs. H/ACA box snoRNAs are involved in the conversion of uridines to pseudouridines (5-ribosyluracil) a constituent of structural RNAs (transfer, ribosomal, small nuclear, and small nucleolar). The record is from Ensembl.